This 890-nucleotide ribosomal RNA is filed under the name Porpomyces mucidus. Its description in RNAcentral is "eukaryotic LSU rRNA". It matches the Rfam family "Eukaryotic large subunit ribosomal RNA", at positions 1 to 914 of the family's 3401-position model. The record is from RNAcentral. Lineage: Eukaryota; Fungi; Basidiomycota; Agaricomycetes; Trechisporales; Hydnodontaceae.
CUCAAAUCAGGUAGGACUACCCGCUGAACUUAAGCAUAUCAAUAAGCGGAGGAAAAGAAACUAACAAGGAUUCCCCUAGUAACUGCGAGUGAAGCGGGAAGAGCUCAAAUUUGUAAUCUGGCGGUUCUGCCGUCCGAGUUGUAAUCUGGAGAAGCGUUUUCCGUGCCGGACCGUGUACAAGUCCCUUGGAACAGGGCGUCAUAGAGGGUGAGAAUCCCGUCUCUGACACGGACUGCCGGUGCUCUGCGAUGCGCUCUCGAAGAGUCGAGUUGUUUGGGAAUGCAGCUCAAAAUGGGUGGUAAAUUCCAUCUAAAGCUAAAUAUUGGCGAGAGACCGAUAGCGAACAAGUACCGUGAGGGAAAGAUGAAAAGCACUUUGGAAAGAGAGUAAAACAGUACGUGAAAUUGUUGAAAGGGAAACGCUUGAAGUCAGUCGCGUCUUCCGGAACUCAGCCUUGCUUCUGCUCGGUGCACUUUCCGGUGUGACGGGCCAGCAUCGGCUUCGCGGGGCGGACAAAGGGGAGGGGAAGGUGGCAGCUCCGGCUGUGUUAUAGCCCCUCUCUGCACGCGUCCCGCGGGGCCGAGGAAUCCGGCGCUUGCGCCUGGGAUGCUGGCGUAAUGGCUUUAAGCGACCCGUCUUGAAACACGGACCAAGGAGUGCUACAUGCUCGCGAGUGUUUGGGUGAAAAACCCGGGCGCGUAAUGAAAGUGAAAGUCGAUACCCUUUGCUGGGGCACCGACGCCCGAGCCCGAUGUUUUCGGAGGGCCUUGCGGUAGAGCGAGUAUGUUGCGACCCGAAAGAUGGUGAACUAUUCCUGAGGAGGGCGAAGCCAGGAAACUCUGGUGGAGGCUCGUAGCGGUUCUGACGUGCAAAUCGAUCGCAGGACUUGG